GACGAACGCUGGCGGCGUGCUUAACACAUGCCAGUCGAACGGAAAGGCCCUGCGGGUGUGGGGUGCUCGAAUGGCGAACCGGUGGGUAACACGAGAGUAGCGUGCCCUGGACUGUGGGAUAGCUUCACGAAACGGGGGCUAGUACCGUAUAGGAGAUCCUGCUGCAUUGGGGUGGUUGGUAAAUGUCGGCGGUUUGGGAUGGGCUCGCGGCUUAUCAGCUUGGAGGUGGGGUGGUGGCUUACCAAGGCAUUGAAGGGUAGCCGGCCUGAGCGGGUGACCGGCCACAUUGGGCUUGGGCUGCGGCCCAGCCUCGUCCGGGACGCAGCAGUGGAGAAUAUUGCACAACGGGAGGAACCCUGAUGCAGCAAAGCCGCGCGGGGUAUGACGUCCUUCGGGUUGUAAACCGCUUCCGCCUGUGGAGAGGCGUGAGUGACGGUAACGGGUAAAGAAGCACCGGCUAACUACGUG
This 468-nucleotide ribosomal RNA is filed under the name uncultured bacterium. RNAcentral's name for it is "partial 16S ribosomal RNA". It matches the Rfam family "Bacterial small subunit ribosomal RNA", at positions 28 to 507 of the family's 1533-position model. The record is from RNAcentral.